This 243-nucleotide unclassified non-coding RNA is filed under the name Hyaloscyphaceae sp. Its description in RNAcentral is "partial contains small subunit ribosomal RNA, internal transcribed spacer 1, and 5.8S ribosomal RNA". The stretch from base 1 to 46 matches the Rfam family "Eukaryotic small subunit ribosomal RNA", at positions 1786 to 1831 of the family's 1831-position model. The record is from RNAcentral. Lineage: Eukaryota; Fungi; Ascomycota; Leotiomycetes; Helotiales; Hyaloscyphaceae.
AAGUCGUAACAAGGUCUCCGUAGGUGAACCUGCGGAGGGAUCAUUACAGAGUUCAUGCCCUAACGGGUAGAUCUCCCACCCUAUGUCAUUAUCACUAUGUUGCUUUGGCGGGCCGCUGGGCUCACGCUCGGCUACCGGCUCCGGCUGGUACGCGCCCGCCAGAGGACCCCAAACCCUGAAUAUUAGUGUCGUCUGAGUACUAUAUAAUAGUUAAAACUUUCAACAACGGAUCUCUUGGUUCUG